UACGUAGGGAGCGAGCGUUAUCCGGAAUUAUUGGGCGUAAAGGGUGCGUAGAUGGUUGAUAUAAGUCUUUUGUAAAAAUGCUAGGCUCAACCUAGUAGGGCAAAAGAUACUGAUGAACUAGAGUACGGCAGAGGCAAGUGGAACUACAUGUGUAGCGGUAAAAUGCGUAGAUAUCACGCAGAACCCCGAUUGCGAAGGCAGCAUACCGGUGCACAACUGACGCUCAGGCACGAAAGCGUGGGUAUCGAACAGG
This 253-nucleotide ribosomal RNA is filed under the name uncultured bacterium. RNAcentral describes it as "partial 16S ribosomal RNA". It matches the Rfam family "Bacterial small subunit ribosomal RNA", at positions 524 to 776 of the family's 1533-position model. The record is from RNAcentral.